Molecule: ribosomal RNA, 2216 nt
Filed under: Bacteroides fragilis
Lineage: Bacteria; Pseudomonadati; Bacteroidota; Bacteroidia; Bacteroidales; Bacteroidaceae
Description: partial 23S ribosomal RNA
Rfam family: Bacterial large subunit ribosomal RNA
Source: RNAcentral
UGUGACGGCGUGCCUUUUGCAUAAUGAACCUACGAGUUACUUUUUCCGGCAAGGUUAAGCAUCUUGAGAUGUGGAUCCGAAGCGAAAGCGAGUCUGAACAGGGCGGAUAGUCGGAAGGAGUAGACGCGAAACCAAGUGAUCUACCCUUGGGCAGGUUGAAGGUUAGGUAACACUAACUGGAGGACCGAACCGAUAAGCGUUGAAAAGCUUCCGGAUGACCUGAGGGUGGGGGUGAAAGGCUAAUCAAACUUGGAGAUAGCUCGUACUCCCCGAAAUGCAUUUAGGUGCAGCCUUGAGAGUUACUAAUGUGAGGUAGAGCGACUGAUAAGAUGCGAGGGCUUCACCGCCUAUCAAGUCUUGAUAAACUCCGAAUGCGCAUUAGUUCUAUCUCAGGAGUGAGGGCAUGGGUGCUAAGGUCCAUGUCCUAAAGGAGAAGAAUCCAGACCAUCAGCUAAGGUCCCCAAAUAAACACUAAGUUGAACUAACGAAGUCAGAUUGCUAAGACAGCUAGGAUGUUGGCUUGGAAGCAGCCAUUCAUUUAAAGAGUGCGUAACAGCUCACUAGUCGAGGAGUUUGGCGUGGAUAAUAAUCGGGCAUUAAGUGUUUUACCGAAGCUAUGGGAUCCUAACGGAUCGGUAGGGGAGCAUUCCACUCAGCGUUGAAGGCGAAGCGUGAGCUUUACUGGAGCGUGUGGAAAAGCAAAUGUAGGUAUAAGUAACGAUAAAGGGGGUGAGAAACCCCCUCGCCGCAAGACUAAGGUUUCCUGAUCAACGCUAAUCGGAUCAGGGUUAGUCGGGUCCUAAGGCUCAGCCGAACGGUGAGGCCGAUGGCAGAACAGGUUAAUAUUCCUGUACUACCUAUAAGAGUGAUGUGGAGACGGAGGAGUGACAACGCCGCGGACUGACGGAAUAGUCCGUUAAAGGGUGUAGAUGUUGAUUAUCCCAGGCAAAUCCGGGAUAAGAGUCGAACCUGACAGUAUACCAAUUUCCUCGGAAAACGGUAAUAGUGCGUGUAAACAUACUCCCAAGAAAAUCCGCUAAACUUAAUCUUAUAGGUACCCGUACCGUAAACGGACACACGUAGUCGGGUUGAAUAUACUCAGGCGCUUGAGUGAAUCACGGUUAAGGAACUAGGCAAAUUGACCCUGUAACUUCGGGAUAAAGGGUCCCUACCCGGUGACGGGAGGGCGCAGAGAAUAGGUCCAGGCAACUGUUUAACAAAAACACAGGGCUGUGCAAAAUUGAAAGAUCACGUAUACAGCCUGACACCUGCCCGGUGCUGGAAGGUUAAGAGGAGAUGUCAUCGCAAGAGAAGCAUUGAAUUGAAGCCCCAGUAAACGGCGGCCGUAACUAUAACGGUCCUAAGGUAGCGAAAUUCCUUGUCGGGUAAGUUCCGACCUGCACGAAUGGUGUAAUGAUCUGGACACUGUCUCAACCGUGAGCUCAGUGAAAUUGUAGUAUCGGUGAAGAUGCCGAUUACCCGCGAUGGGACGAAAAGACCCCGUGAACCUUUACUAUAGCUUAACAUUGAAUUUGGGUAAUUGAUGUGUAGGAUAGGCCGGAGACUUUGAAGCAGGUACGCCAGUAUUUGUGGAGUCGCUGUUGAAAUACGGCCCUUUGGUUAUUUGAGUUCUAACUCGCUGGUGCGAGGACACUGUUUGGUGGGUAGUUUGACUGGGGUGGUCGCCUCCAAAAGCGUAACGGAGGCUUCUAAAGGUGCCCUCACGCCGAUUGGUAACCGGCGGUAGAGUGUAAUGGCAUAAGGGCGCUUGACUGGGAGACUUACAAGUCGAUCAGGUAGGAAACUAGAGCAUAGUGAUCCGGUGUUUCCGUAUGGAAGGGACAUCGCUCAAAGGAUAAAAGGUACUCCGGGGAUAACAGGCUGAUCCCUCCCAAGAGCUCAUAUCGACGGAGGGGUUUGGCACCUCGAUGUCGGCUCGUCACAUCCUGGGGCUGGAGAAGGUCCCAAGGGUUGGGCUGUUCGCCCAUUAAAGUGGCACGCGAGCUGGGUUCAGAACGUCGUGAGACAGUUCGGUCUCUAUCUAUCGUGGGCGUAUGAAAUUUGCGUGGCUCUGACACUAGUACGAGAGGACCGUGUUGGACUGACCUCUGGUUUACCGGUUGUGCCGCCAGGUGCAUUGCCGGGUAUCUAAGUCGGGAUUGGAUAAGUGCUGAAAGCAUCUAAGUACGAAGCCAGCCACAAGAUUAGAUUUCUUU